UAAGCACACGUCGAACCGCCAAAAAAAGAACGACACUUUGCUCCUAACACCGCAGCAGAAGCAGGAUUUUGGUUGUUGUUCAUGUUCUAUUUUGCUUUCAAUCAAAUAUUAUUGCCAAUGAAUUCUGGUAAAGCUGGAGUUUUGUGUCUGUGGAAACACUUUCGUUGUUGGUAGAGUUAUAAUUACUGUUGUUAUUGGAGAGUUUUCGGUCGAGGAACUGGAUCAUGUAAUCUAGGCGUUUAGUGGAGGCUUCCAGGGAGGGAUUGGGAUUGUAAGCCGGGUUGGAUCAUGUAAUCUACUCUCUUGAGUAGAUUUUUGUGUUUAUGGUUUGAGUGUGACUUUUAUAUGUUGAAAUGGGUAUGAACUCAGUAAUGGUGAGCGGAGAAAUUGAGGAUUUUUGGAGUUACUUUGUUGCAUUCUAAUUUGAGGCUUGAAACUCUAUAUAGCUACUUUGUAAAGUUUGUUUCUUGGACUAAAUGUUUUGAUACUUUUGUGUAAUUUGGAUGUGUUGGGAUAGAAUAGCCUACAUAUUAUUGUUGGUAUGUCAAUUGGAGGAUUGAAAAAUUAUAAAGCUCACAUUUUUUGUAUUUAUGGAUUUAUAUGUGAAAGAGAGCUGGGAGACAGUGGAUCAUCUAUCAAUCCGGUUUCUUAAUAUUUGGGAGAUUCAGCCUUCGAUCUCUCUUUUUUUCUGACAAUAUUUAGGUUCGGACAAUUAUUGAUUAGUUUCCCCGCCACAGAUCAUUGUGUAAAGCGAAGUGAGGUGUACUAAUAAUUGCAUGAUUGUACGAGGGUAGCACCGCACCCUAUAGAUCAGUUUGCAGGGGAAAUGAAUACUAAAACUUUCUAAGGGAGCGUUGCACUCUUAGUCAACUACUAGACCAGAAUGUUGAGGAGAGCCUACUCCUAGAUCUGAGUCUAAUGUCUGGGGAGGA
Molecule: long non-coding RNA, 932 nt
Filed under: Populus trichocarpa (black cottonwood)
Lineage: Eukaryota; Viridiplantae; Streptophyta; Magnoliopsida; Malpighiales; Salicaceae
Description: long non-coding RNA (PTRI_LNC002041)
Source: RNAcentral